UGAAGGUGAGCAAAUCCCAAAAUAAGUCCCAGUUCGGAUUGUAGUCUGCAACCCGACUACAUGAAGCUGGAAUCGCUAGUAAUCGCAGGUCAGCAUACUGCGGUGAAUACGUUCCCGGGUCUUGUACACACCGCCCGUCACACCAUGGGAGCCGGAAAUGCCCGAAGCCAGUGACCCAACCUUAGGGAGGGAGCUGUCGAAGGUGGAGCCGGUAACUGGGGUGAAGUCGUAACAAGGUAGC
This 241-nucleotide ribosomal RNA is filed under the name uncultured bacterium. Its description in RNAcentral is "partial 16S ribosomal RNA". It matches the Rfam family "Bacterial small subunit ribosomal RNA", at positions 1258 to 1500 of the family's 1533-position model. The record is from RNAcentral.